GACGAACGCUGGCGGCGUGCCUAAUACAUGCAAGUAGAACGCUGAAGGAGGAGCUUGCUCUUCUGGAUGAGUUGCGAACGGGUGAGUAACGCGUAGGUAACCUGCCUGGUAGCGGGGGAUAACUAUUGGAAACGAUAGCUAAUACCGCAUAACAGUAGAUGUUGCAUGACAUUUACUUAAAAGGUGCAAUUGCAUCACUACCAGAUGGACCUGCGUUGUAUUAGCUAGUUGGUGGGGUAACGGCUCACCAAGGCGACGAUACAUAGCCGACCUGAGAGGGUGAUCGGCCACACUGGGACUGAGACACGGCCCAGACUCCUACGGGAGGCAGCAGUAGGGAAUCUUCGGCAAUGGACGGAAGUCUGACCGAGCAACGCCGCGUGAGUGAAGAAGGUUUUCGGAUCGUAAAGCUCUGUUGUAAGAGAAGAACGAGUGUGAGAGUGGAAAGUGCAAACUGUGACGGUAUCUGACCAGAAAGGGACGGCGAACUACGU
RNAcentral lists this ribosomal RNA (494 nucleotides) under uncultured bacterium. RNAcentral describes it as "partial 16S ribosomal RNA". It matches the Rfam family "Bacterial small subunit ribosomal RNA", at positions 28 to 506 of the family's 1533-position model. The record is from RNAcentral.